This is a non-coding RNA of Ailuropoda melanoleuca (giant panda), 514 nucleotides long. NCBI's taxonomy places the organism in Eukaryota, Metazoa, Chordata, Mammalia, Carnivora, Ursidae. The record is from the annotation of a RefSeq genome assembly.
UCAUUUGCAUAGACAAACCCUUCCUCUCUCAGAGGAUGAAGAGGGGAAGGAGAGAUUAGGGGAGGUUCUGCUCAGCUGUAAGCCACAGAAGUCAGGAUCAAUGAUGGUCCUCACCAUGGCCUGGUGCCCUCUCCUUCUCGCCCUCCUUGCUCACUGCACAGGAUCCUGGGCCCAGUCUGUGCUUACUCAGCCGCCCUCUGUGUCCGGGGCCCUUGGCCAGAGUGUCACCAUCUCCUGCACUGGAAUCCCCACCAACACAGAUUAUGAUGGAGAGGAAUAUCAAUCUUAUGUGAACUGGUACCAACAGUUCCCAGGAAAGAGACCCAUUCUCCUCAUCUAUGGUGAUGAAAACAGAAACACUGGGGUCUCAGAUCGGUUCUCUGGUUCCAAGACAGAAAGCUCAGCCUCCCUGACCAUCACCAGCCUCCAGGCUGAGGACGAGGCUGAUUAUUACUGCCAGUCCACUGACGAUAGCCUCAGUAUUCACACAGUGCUCAGGCCUAUGGGGAAGUGA